GGUAACGACGGCCGAUGGGGCGCGGUAGUACGGAGGGGGGAAGCGUUGUCCGGAAUGAUUGGGCGUGAAGCGAGGGCAUGUGGCCUUUUAAGUCUGAUGUGAAAGCCCCCGGCUCAACCGGGGAGGGCCAUUGGAAACUGGAAGGCUUGAGUACAGAAGAGAAGAGUGGAAUUCCACGUGUAGCGGUGAAAUGCGUAGAGAUGUGGAGGAACACCAGUGGCGAAGGCGACUCUUUGGUCUGUAACUGACGCUGAGGCGCGAAAGCGUGGGGAGCAAACAGGAUUAGAUACCCUAGUAGUC
This 300-nucleotide ribosomal RNA is filed under the name uncultured Lactobacillus sp. RNAcentral describes it as "partial 16S ribosomal RNA". It matches the Rfam family "Bacterial small subunit ribosomal RNA", at positions 496 to 795 of the family's 1533-position model. Lineage: Bacteria; Bacillati; Bacillota; Bacilli; Lactobacillales; Lactobacillaceae. The record is from RNAcentral.